GAAUGAAGAACGUAGCGAAAUGCGAUAAGUAAUGUGAAUUGCAGAAUUCAGUGAAUCAUCGAAUCUUUGAACGCACAUUGCGCCCCCUGGUAUUCCGGGGGGCAUGCCUGUCCGAGCGUCAUUACAACCCUCAAGCUCUGCUUGGUGUUGGGCCCCGCCGCCCCGGCGGGCCCUAAAGUCAGUGGCGGUGCCAUCCGGCUCCGAGCGUAGUAAUUCUUCUCGCUCUGGAGGUCCGGUUGUGUGCUUGCCAUCAACCCCCAAUUUUUUUCAGGUUGACCUCGGAUCAGGUAGGGAUACCCGCUGAACUUAAGCAUAUCAAUAAGCGGAGGA
Molecule: unclassified non-coding RNA, 330 nt
Filed under: soil metagenome
Description: partial contains 5.8S ribosomal RNA, internal transcribed spacer 2, and large subunit ribosomal RNA
Rfam family: 5.8S ribosomal RNA (bases 3-121)
Source: RNAcentral